GGAAGGAUGGCAGAGAGGUCUAAUGCGGCGGUCUUGAAAACCGCUGAACCGGAAACGGUUCCGGGGGUUCGAAUCCCUCUCCUUCCGCCA
RNAcentral lists this transfer RNA (90 nucleotides) under Opitutia bacterium. RNAcentral describes it as "tRNA-Ser". It matches the Rfam family "tRNA". From Rfam's summary of the family: Transfer RNA (tRNA) molecules are approximately 80 nucleotides in length. Their secondary structure includes four short double-helical elements and three loops (D, anti-codon, and T loops). RNAcentral also lists the same sequence under 1 other name. The record is from RNAcentral. Lineage: Bacteria; Pseudomonadati; Verrucomicrobiota; Opitutia.